CCUACGGGUGGCAGCAGUGGGGAAUAUUGCACAAUGGGCGCAAGCCUGAUCCAGCCACGCCGCGUGAAGGAAGACGGCCCUCCGGUUGUAAAGCUCUUUUUAUAGAGAAGAAUACUGAGGCACGCUUAACUUCUAGUAUCUACUUUAUGCGUAAGAGUAGCCUAACUCAUUGCCAGCAGCCGAGGUAAUACGGAGGAUCCGGGGGUUAUCCGGAUUUACGGGGUGUAAAGGGAGCGUAGAUGGUUUGUUAAGUCAGUUGUGAAAGCUUCGGGCUUAACCGGAAAAUUGCAGUUGAAACUGGUAGUCGUGAGUGCAGUAGAGGUAGGCGGAAUUCCUGGUGUAGCGGUGAAAUGCGUAGAGAUCAGGAGGAACACCGAUUGCGAAGGCAGCCUACUGGAC
Molecule: ribosomal RNA, 399 nt
Filed under: uncultured bacterium
Lineage: Bacteria
Description: partial 16S ribosomal RNA
Rfam family: Bacterial small subunit ribosomal RNA
Source: RNAcentral